UACAGAGGGGGCAAGCGUUGUUCGGAAUUACUGGGCGUAAAGGGCGCGUAGGCGGCCUUCUAAGUCGAACGUGAAAUCCCCGGGCUCAACCCGGGAACUGCGUCCGAUACUGGAAGGCUUGAAUCCGGGAGAGGGAUGCGGAAUUCCCGGUGUAGAGGUGAAAUUCGUAGAUAUCGGGAGGAACACCGGUGGCGAAGGCGGCGACCUGGGUCGAGACUGACGCUGAGGCGCGAAAGCGUGGGGAGCAAACAGG
Molecule: ribosomal RNA, 253 nt
Filed under: uncultured bacterium
Lineage: Bacteria
Description: partial 16S ribosomal RNA
Rfam family: Bacterial small subunit ribosomal RNA
Source: RNAcentral